CCCCCCCCCCCCCCCCCCCCCCCCCCCCCCCCCCCCCCCCCCCCCCCCCCCCCCCCCCCCCCCCGCGAUUCAAAUCCGGCCAAUCAGCGCGCACGCCUCCGGAUGACGUCAUGACGCACGCAUCACCAUAGCGACGGCCAAGGGGCGCGGCUCGAGGCGCGGGGGCCCCCCCCCCCCCCCCCCCCCCCCCCCCCCCCCCCCCCCCCCCCCCCCCCCCCCCCCCCCCCCCCCCCCCCCCCCCCCCCCCCCCCCCCCCCCCCCCCCCCCCCCCCCCCCCCAGCGGGCGCCCCCUGCUGGUGGCGGUGGUGGAGUGGGAAGGGCCGCGGGUUCGAAUCCCGACCCCGGCUGAUCCCGGUUUUUCCGUUUUUUUUCCUCUUUUUUUUAUCCAUCUAAUUCCAACCUUUCAGGAAAACAGGUGGAACGCAGAUCGUUUUCAGAGCCAGAGCUUCCCUGUGUGCCUGCCUGGAGCUUUUCCAAGGAGGGAUGAGAGAGGUUUGCUGGAAUUUGAUCCCAAAAUUCCUGAAUUUGUUCAGGAUUUGCCAUGGAUCAACAUUCCACUAAGAAAUACCCCGGUUUAUUUCCUUGGAACAACUGGACACGGAGUUUUCAUUUCUCCUGGGAAGGCAAUUGAGCAAAAUCCAGGGAUUUUUGGGUAAAAAAACCUGGAAAAAUCCUCUCCCUGUACCGCUCCAAGAUCCAGCACCACCCAUUCCAUGGGUGGAUCCUGUGGAAUUCUGGCAUUCCAUCCCAGUUUUCCCAAAUUUCCCGGCAUCGCAGAGGACGGGAGAAUUUCAGUUCAAAAGUUGAACGACCUGGAAUAAUUCUGGGAUGAUUCCCGACGUUUUUUCCGGGCUCUUCAACCCCAGCCGGAUUCCUCCCCGGUCACAGCAGCUCCCAAAGUAAAUAAACUCUGGAAUUAUCAGCAAUGAUCUCCAAAGGGAUUCGUUUUCCCAGAAAUAUUUUUAUUAUUGAGCAGAUUAAAACCAGUGAUUUAUGUUAAUUUAAUAAAACUGUAGGAAAAACAAUUCCAGUGCUUAUAAAUAUCCCGAAAAUCCCAGCCAGCUUUCCCAAGAAUUGAUUUAUCCCGUAUUUAACCCGUUCAUCCCAGAUUUUAUUGUGUUAACCGAAAUUCCAGGAGCUCCCAAAGUGCAGCAAAAAAGCAAUUAAAGGAAAUUAAUGGAAGACCAGUGGAAUCAUCCAGGAGAAAAUUCCCAAAGAAUCAAGUGGCAGGAAAAUCCAAGAGGAAAACCUGGAUACUGGAAAAAGCUGAGAGUUCCAGGCUCUUCCUGCAAAACCCAGGAGCAGCAGGGAAGGAAAACAAGGAACAACGCAGGGAAAAUCCUGGGAAUUCUUUAAAACUCCAGGGUGUUUCUAAUCCUGGGAGGUUGGGGCGUGGAGCUCCCCCAGCCCCAGGAUCCAUCCCAGGAAUGCCUGGAACAGGAUGGAAUUCCUUCAUUCCACCCCCCACGCGGGAUUCCCGUGGGAACGAACUUCUCAGGAUUUCCCAGAACCAGACCCUGGAAGAGCUUUCCUGCGGGAACAUCCCGUCGGAGCUCUCCUGGAAUCCCUUUUCCCGGAUAACGAGGAAAAACAGCGGGAAUUAAAACUCCCAUCCCUCCAUCCCACAUUUCCAGGCGCUUGGGCUGAGUGUGAGGCUUGAAAUUCCAAAGGAACUCCACCUCCAAGGGGAAAAUGGGAAUUUGGGAGUGCUUGGCUUCAGCAGGAUGCCAACAUUCCCUGGAUUUCUCCCCAAGGCAGACCUGAGGGAUGCUGGAUUCUUUGGGAAGCAGCAGCACUUCCCUCCCUUUUUCAGGGAUCAAAUCCCGAUUUUUUUUUGACGCUUUCCCUGCGGAUAACAACGGGACGGGAAGCGUUUCCCAGCCCACCCGUGGAUAAAACACAGUGCGGUUUUCCCCUGGGGGAAAUUCCCGAAGAAAUAUUUCCAGGAGAUCAAACUCC
This 1959-nucleotide long non-coding RNA is filed under the name Ficedula albicollis (Collared flycatcher). Its description in RNAcentral is "lncRNA (ENSFALG00000024117.1)". Lineage: Eukaryota; Metazoa; Chordata; Aves; Passeriformes; Muscicapidae. The record is from RNAcentral.